AUGGCCUCAGCGGGCGUGGAGUACAUAGACUUGGUGCAGGCGGAUGCUUGCUUCUACUCGUCUGAGACUGGUGUUAGGAGAGGACCGGACGGCAUCUAUCUCGAUGGCAAGGGAUACAGCCUACAUGAGGAUCAGCCCGCAGUGCUUGUUGGGGGCGCGCUCUACUUCCUCUGCAUCUAUGGCGCCCUGCUGAGGUACGAUGUUCUGGGUACACAUGACCUGUCAGUGAUCAAGCCGCCUCCCGGCAAGUUUCUUGGAAGCAGCACCAUUGUGAUGAGGGCGGAGAACGGUGGGCUUGGAUUGGCCUCCUUUGGUCGUGACGUGCUCCACCUGUGGUCAGCUGAGACGGGUCCUGACGGAGAUGUCAAGUGGGCGCAGAUGAACCACAUCCAUCUCGGGAAGCUGAUGCCUUUCAAGAGCCCAGCACGUUUGAUUGGAUUUGCCGAAGACAUCAAUGCCGUUUUUGUGAGCUCAGAUGACCAUGGCAUCUUCACUGUUGAGCUCAAGUCAUUGCUGACGAAGAAGGUGUGCGAGAUGGGCAAGGUCAAGGAUUUUUUUCCUUACGUCUGCUACUACACUCCAGCUGGUACAACUUCUACAUCCUCAUCUUUGUUUUUAAUUGUGAUGUGUGAGUGUGACUAUUCUGUCAGGCGUCUAGUAAUACUUCUGUUAGUGCAUAAAGUUAAACGAAAUAUUAUAAAAGUAAACCUAGAUUUUAAUUUAGAGACACACGGAAGGCAUAUAUGCCAUUGUGACAACGAAUGCAUGCCUAGUAGAUUGUUUGUCUAG
Molecule: ribosomal RNA, 789 nt
Filed under: Triticum aestivum (bread wheat)
Lineage: Eukaryota; Viridiplantae; Streptophyta; Magnoliopsida; Poales; Poaceae
Description: partial small subunit ribosomal RNA
Source: RNAcentral